This 339-nucleotide ribosomal RNA is filed under the name Burkholderiales bacterium. RNAcentral describes it as "bacterial SSU rRNA". It matches the Rfam family "Bacterial small subunit ribosomal RNA", at positions 1 to 349 of the family's 1533-position model. The record is from RNAcentral. Lineage: Bacteria; Pseudomonadati; Pseudomonadota; Betaproteobacteria; Burkholderiales.
GAACUGAAGAGUUUGAUCCUGGCUCAGAUUGAACGCUGGCGGCAUGCCUUACACAUGCAAGUCGAACGGAAACAGGUUAAGCUGUCGAGUGGCGAACGGGUGAGUAAUACAUCGGAACGUGCCCAGUAGUGGGGGAUAGCCCGGCGAAAGCCGGAUUAAUACCGCAUACGACCUACGGGUGAAAGCGGGGGACCGCAAGGCCUCGCGCUAUUGGAGCGGCCGAUGUCAGAUUAGGUAGUUGGUGGGGUAAAGGCCUACCAAGCCGACGAUCUGUAGCUGGUCUGAGAGGACGACCAGCCACACUGGGACUGAGACACGGCCCAGACUCCUACGGGAGGC